CAGCACCCGCAGACUCCGCCGACGCUCGCAGAGAUCAGAGCUGCGGACCCGUUUUGGGGACAAGGUUUAAUGAAAUGCAUGGCUAGUCAUGGACUUCACUACUUGCUGGGAUUUAGAAGAGAUGAAGAAAACACAGUUUUAACUCACAUAGAACUACUGAGCUGAUCACCGUAAUUAUUAAGGAGUUGGCUUUGCUAUUUUGCUCCUAUACAAGUGGCAACCUCCCCCUACCGCAGCACCCCAGGCCAACCCCUCUCCAGUCUGUCCUCUCUCCCUGCGCACUGUCUAUUCAAUCCUUGCUGCUCAAGAACCCACAGCACCGGCACCUGGGAUCUUGCUACAUAUGUGGAAUCUCACGUUGUCCCCAGAAGCGUUGUACUAACUGUCACAGCCAGCGUGGCCAUUUCUGCCUUCUAUGCCAUGCUUCUUGGUCAGUGGCUGGAAAAGUCUUCACAAUGUUUUGUUCCAAAAUUCCACUAACAUAUACGCGUCAUCUUACCCUUGACUGCAUGUACUACUGAUUUUUUUUUAAGGUGCAUAAAGUUAAAUUCAGGGACAAUCCAUGUGGGCGAGGUACUCCAUAAUGUACAAGAAUAGAGUAUUUCAUUUCACUGUCCUUCUAAGAGAAGAUAAAGAUUUAAAUCUUUGUCUCAUGAUAAAAAUGGCACAGAGGAAAGGAAGGAGCAUGAGCAGAAGCAAAAGAAAGCCCAGGACUGGAGCUGAGAUGGCAGAGGAUGAAGUUGGAAUGGCCAUAUUGGGUUGCAUGGAAAUGAAUUAGAAAGUAACAAGCCAAUACUCAUGGCUGGAAAGCUCAAGUAGGGUAGGGGUGGUUAAUAAAACUGUGGACAUUUGAACAGAGAACUAGUGUAACUAAAAUGAAUGUUGCAAUUGUUUGAAAAAGUCAAGCUGUUUUAGAACAUUUCUUAGUCUCAGCUUUCCAGUCUGUAACAUAGAGGCCAAUAUCUAGGGUUCUAUUGGUUGUAAGGAAUAAAAAGAAACAGAAGGCCCUCAGGCCAAAGUUAGCACAGGAGAAGCACUUAAAUGGCAACAGAAGUAACCAGUUAUCCUGGUGGGAGGUUGAGAGAUUAAAAGCCCAGGAGACAUGUAAAAAGCUCCUCCAAUAGAAGUUCCAACAGUAAAGUUGAUCAAGUGCUGCUCACUGUGUGCUGGUACUCUUCUGAAAGUGCUCUUCAGAAAGCAGUAGAUGCAUCCUCAAACAGCCCAGUAAGGCACGUAUGGUCAUCCCGAUUUGGGAGAUGGGAGACCGAGGAAUAGAGUGCAUCCAUUUCGGCAUAAGUUGCUAAAGACCAAAUUCAAAACCUCAGCAUGACUUCAGUUCCCACACUCCCAUCUCCAGGCUCUUCCUCUAUAGGUGUUCCACUGAAGACAAGGAAGGGGUGUGUGGUGGAUAAAAGUAGGGGAGGAGCAAGACCCCCAUCUGUGAGAAAGAGACAAUGACGGGUGAGCACACUGUCCUGGGUGAACGUAGAAUGCCCAGAAUAACUCCGCUGGUGAGCCGAGCUGGGAGGAAA
This is a long non-coding RNA of Tupaia belangeri chinensis (Chinese tree shrew), 1532 nucleotides long. RefSeq lists it as uncharacterized. Lineage: Eukaryota; Metazoa; Chordata; Mammalia; Scandentia; Tupaiidae. The transcript has 4 exons. The record is from RefSeq and is a predicted model, not a curated record.